CGAACGCUGGCGGCAUGCCUAACACAUGCAAGUCGAACGAGACCUGGGUCUAGUGGCGCACGGUGCGUAACGCGUGGGAAUCUGCCCUUGGGUUCGGAAUAACAGUUAGAAAUGACUGCUAAUACCGGAUAAUGUCUUCGGACCAAAGAUUUAUCGCCCAGGGAUGAGCCCGCGUAGGAUUAGCUAGUUGGUGAGGUAAAGGCUCACCAAGGCGACGAUCCUUAGCUGGUCUGAGAGGAUGAUCAGCCACACUGGGACUGAGACACGGCCCAGACUCCUACGGGAGGCAGCAGUGGGGAAUAUUGGACAAUGGGCGAAAAGCCUGAUCCAGCAAUGCCGCGUGAGUGAUGAAGGCCUUAGGGUUGUAAAGCUCUUUUACCCGGGAUGAUAAUGACAGUACCGGGAGAAUAAGCCCCGGCUAACUCCGUG
Molecule: ribosomal RNA, 429 nt
Filed under: uncultured bacterium
Lineage: Bacteria
Description: bacterial SSU rRNA
Rfam family: Bacterial small subunit ribosomal RNA
Source: RNAcentral